RNAcentral lists this ribosomal RNA (253 nucleotides) under uncultured bacterium. RNAcentral describes it as "partial 16S ribosomal RNA". It matches the Rfam family "Bacterial small subunit ribosomal RNA", at positions 524 to 776 of the family's 1533-position model. The record is from RNAcentral.
UACGAAGGGGGCUAGCGUUGUUCGGAAUCACUGGGCGUAAAGGGCGCUUAGGCGGCUUUAUAAGUCGGGGGUGAAAGCCUGUGGCUCAACCACAGAAUUGCCUUCGAUACUGUAGAGCUUGAGACCGGAAGAGGUAAGUGGAACUGCGAGUGUAGAGGUGAAAUUCGUAGAUAUUCGCAAGAACACCAGUGGCGAAGGCGGCUUACUGGUCCGGUUCUGACGCUGAGGCGCGAAAGCGUGGGGAGCAAACAGG